This 482-nucleotide long non-coding RNA is filed under the name Manihot esculenta (cassava). Its description in RNAcentral is "long non-coding RNA (MESC_LNC003949)". The record is from RNAcentral. Lineage: Eukaryota; Viridiplantae; Streptophyta; Magnoliopsida; Malpighiales; Euphorbiaceae.
UUAGAUACCAUGAGACCACUGAGGUUUUUCAUGCAAUGAAUUUGGCAUAAGAAUGGAAAGAGAGCUUCAUUUGACCGGUGGGCUUUAGCCUCAAUCAAUUAUGGAGGAGAAUAAAUAUUUUAUCUAGAGUCCUAAAACCUUUCCCACCUCUUCCUCUUAUUUUACCCAUUCCCAUCCUAAGGCCAUAGUGUUACAAGCCCAGCCCAUUCAACAAAAAUCAUUGACUACCUUUCAAUCAUCGUCUUCUCCAUCUUCUGUCUCCACCCUAAAAGACCUUUCUUCCUCCUGUCCUCCCACAAACCCACUUCCCUUCAGGCUCCUAAAGCACAAGCUCUCUACCAUUAUUCCCACUAAGAGCACCAAGAUUUGCAAGCCAAGAGUCUCUAUUUUUGCUAUAAGCAACCCUAUUCUCCUCUCCUGGAAGGCCCACUCAAAACCUUGCGAUCUUUAAUCGCCACUAAGGAUGAGGAUACUAGUGACCC